RNAcentral lists this unclassified non-coding RNA (312 nucleotides) under uncultured fungus. Its description in RNAcentral is "partial contains 5.8S ribosomal RNA and internal transcribed spacer 2". The stretch from base 1 to 133 matches the Rfam family "5.8S ribosomal RNA", at positions 22 to 154 of the family's 154-position model. The record is from RNAcentral. Lineage: Eukaryota; Fungi.
UGGUUCUGGCAUCGAUGAAGAACGCAGCGAAAUGCGAUAAGUAAUGUGAAUUGCUGAAUUCAGUGAAUCAUCGAAUCUUUGAACGCACAUUGCGCCCCUUGGUAUUCCUAGGGGCAUGCCUGUUCGAGCGUCAUUACAACCCUCAAGCCUAGCUUGGUAUUGGGCCUCGCUGUUCACCCAGCGGGCCUUAAAAUCAGUGGCGGUGCUUCUAUAGUCCUAAGCGUAGUAAAUCUCUCGCUUUAGGGGUGUGGUGGUGCCUGCCAUGACCUUUAUUCUAAGUUUGACCUCGGAUCAGGUAGGGAUACCCGCUGA